AGUGAACGCUGGCGGUAGGCCUAACACAUGCAAGUCGAACGGCAGCACAGUAAGAGCUUGCUCUUACGGGUGGCGAGUGGCGGACGGGUGAGGAAUACAUCGGAAUCUACUUUUUCGUGGGGGAUAACGUAGGGAAACUUACGCUAAUACCGCAUACGACCUACGGGUGAAAGCAGGGGAUCUUCGGACCUUGCGCGAUUGAAUGAGCCGAUGUCGGAUUAGCUAGUUGGCGGGGUAAAGGCCCACCAAGGCGACGAUCCGUAGCUGGUCUGAGAGGAUGAUCGGCCACACUGGAACUGAGACACGGUCCAGACUCCUACGGGAGGGAGCAGUGGGGAAUGUUGGACAAUGGGCGCAAGCCUGAUCCAGCCAUACCGCGUGGGUGAAGAAGGCCUUCGGGUUGUAAAGACCUUUUGUUGGGAAAGAAAAGCAGCAGGUUAAUACCCCGCUGUUCUGACGGUACCCAAAGAAUAAGCACCGGCUAACUUCGUG
Molecule: ribosomal RNA, 492 nt
Filed under: uncultured bacterium
Lineage: Bacteria
Description: partial 16S ribosomal RNA
Rfam family: Bacterial small subunit ribosomal RNA
Source: RNAcentral